UACGGAGGAUGCAAGCGUUAUCCGGAAUGAUUGGGCGUAAAGCGUCCGCAGGUGGCUAUGUAAGUCUGCUGUUAAAGAGUGAGGCUCAACCUCAUAAAAGCAGUGGAAACUACAUGGCUAGAGUGCGUUCGGGGCAGAGGGAAUUCCUGGUGUAGCGGUGAAAUGCGUAGAUAUCAGGAAGAACACCGGUGGCGAAAGCGCUCUGCUAGGCCGCAACUGACACUGAGGGACGAAAGCUAGGGGAGCGAACGGG
RNAcentral lists this ribosomal RNA (253 nucleotides) under uncultured bacterium. RNAcentral describes it as "partial 16S ribosomal RNA". It matches the Rfam family "Bacterial small subunit ribosomal RNA", at positions 524 to 776 of the family's 1533-position model. The record is from RNAcentral.